GUUAACAUGUAUAGUUUUUGCGUAAUAAAGGUUUCGCUUUGAAAAGAAACUCGCUGUUAUAUAUCAAGUUCUUUGCAAAAUACAUAUAUAUAAGUAAAAGAAUCAGACAAAUUAUUCAUCUACAAAUAUCUUUUGUCUUUUAAAUAUUGAUUAAUUCCGCUCAACAACCUGGUUUUAGAUUUUUUUUUUUAUCACUAAUCAUAAGAUAUUUUUACUACUUAAAUUAUAAAAGAAAAACGCCGUACAAAACGCACAGAUUUUAUUCUCAAUUACCUUUUUAUUUUCAAAGCAAAACCUAUGCAAUCGAAUAAGUGUUUCCUCAUUAUACUUCGGUUAUUUUAAAACUAACUCAGUAAAGAAGAAAUCGUUGUGGGAUAUAUCAUUUACAACUGUAUUCGAAUCCGGAACCUGUUACCAGGUAUCGGCCGCAAAAAUAGAGAUCCGUACUUCUCAAAAAACGACAAAAAGAGUAAUAAGAGCAAUACGGAAACCGACAAACAAACAAUAAAUUUAGAGACUAACAUAAGCCAGAGAGGAGGGAAGACAAACUUGACAAAUCAAAAGCGCACGAAUCUGUCUAGACGGUAUGUUUACAAGUCAGAAAAAUCGAUCGAUUUGAAGCGGAUCAACGCCCUAAUGCAGCAUCACGAGAGACUGACGGUAAAUAAACUAACAAUCUAUCAAGUUGUUGUCAGUAGAUCCGUCCCUUUCAGUUCCAUUCGUUUUCUUUUUUUUCGUCAGAGAUACAUAGCUAUUAUUUUUUCGGAAAUAUAUAUAUUUUUUUUGAAUAAUUAUUUUCUCUGAAACUCAAGUUAUUUGCCAUUAGAUAAAACGUAAG
Pseudomyrmex gracilis is the source of this 838-nucleotide long non-coding RNA. RefSeq lists it as uncharacterized. The transcript is spliced from 3 exons. NCBI's taxonomy places the organism in Eukaryota, Metazoa, Arthropoda, Insecta, Hymenoptera, Formicidae. The record is from RefSeq and is a predicted model, not a curated record.